GAGGAUUAUACCCUGGUAGUCCACGCCGUAAACGAUGUCUACUAGUUGUCGGUUGUCUUGUACGACGGGUAACGCAGCUAACGCGAUAAGUAGACCGCCUGGGGAGUACGGCCGCAAGGUUAAAACUCAAAUGAAUUGACGGGGGCCCGCACAAGCGGUGGAGCAUGUGGUUUAAUUCGAAGCAACGCGAAGAACCUUACCUGGCCUUGACAUCCUGCGAACUUUCUAGAGAUAGAUUGGUGCCUUCGGGAACGCAGAGACAGGUGCUGCAUGGCUGUCGUCAGCUCGUGCCG
RNAcentral lists this ribosomal RNA (293 nucleotides) under uncultured bacterium. RNAcentral describes it as "partial 16S ribosomal RNA". It matches the Rfam family "Bacterial small subunit ribosomal RNA", at positions 773 to 1067 of the family's 1533-position model. The record is from RNAcentral.